CCUACGGGUGGCAGCAGUGGGGGAUAUUGCACAAUGGGGGGAACCCUGAUGCAGCGACGCCGCGUGGGUGAAGAAGCGCCUCGGCGCGUAAAGCCCUGUCAGCAGGGAAGAAAAUGACGGUACCUGAAGAAGAAGCCCCGGCUAACUACGUGCCAGCAGCUGCCGUAAUACGUAGGGGGCAGGAGUUAUCCGGAUUUACUGGGGGUAAAGGGGGCGCAGACGGCGAUGCAAGCCAGGAGUGAAAGCCCGGGGCCCAACCCCGUGACUGCUCUUGGAACUGCGUGGCUGGAGUGCAGGAGGGGCAGGCGGAAUUCCGGGUGUAGCGGUGAAAUGCGUAGAGAUCAGGAGGAACACCGGUGGCGAAGGCGGCCUGCUGGACUGCAACUGACGUUGAGGCUCGAAAGUGUGGGUAUCAAACAGGAUUAGAUACCCUUGUAGUC
RNAcentral lists this ribosomal RNA (440 nucleotides) under uncultured bacterium. RNAcentral's name for it is "partial 16S ribosomal RNA". It matches the Rfam family "Bacterial small subunit ribosomal RNA", at positions 338 to 795 of the family's 1533-position model. The record is from RNAcentral.